Molecule: ribosomal RNA, 471 nt
Filed under: uncultured bacterium
Lineage: Bacteria
Description: bacterial SSU rRNA
Rfam family: Bacterial small subunit ribosomal RNA
Source: RNAcentral
CGCCAGACUCCUACGGGAGGCAGCAGUGGGGAAUAUUGCGCAAUGGACGAAAGUCUGACGCAGCGACGCCGCGUGAGGGAUGAAGGUUUUCGGAUCGUAAACCUCUGUCAGGAGGGAAGAAAGCGUAUGGCGCCAAUCAGCCAUGCGUUGACGGUACCUCCAAAGGAAGCGCCGGCUAACUCCGUGCCAGCAGCCGCGGUAAUACGUAGGGGGCGAGCGUUAUCCGGAUUCAUUGGGCGUAAAGCGCGCGUAGGCGGCCUGUUAGGUCGGGGGUCAAAUACCGGGGCUCAACCCCGGUCCGCCCCCGAUACCGGCAGGCUUGAGUCUGGUAGGGGAAGGCGGAAUUCCCAGUGUAGCGGUGGAAUGCGCAGAUAUUGGGAAGAACACCGGCGGCGAAGGCGGCCUUCUGGGCCACGACUGACGCUGAGGCGCGAAAGCUAGGGGAGCGAACAGGAUUAGAUACCCGGGUAA